GCCCGGCUAGCUCAAUCGUUAGAGCGUGAGACUCUUAAUCUCAAGGUUGUGGGUUCGACCCCCACGUCGGGCU
RNAcentral lists this transfer RNA (73 nucleotides) under Podospora anserina S mat+. RNAcentral describes it as "tRNA-Lys (CTT) (tRNA-Lys-CTT-2-1)". It matches the Rfam family "tRNA". From Rfam's summary of the family: Transfer RNA (tRNA) molecules are approximately 80 nucleotides in length. Their secondary structure includes four short double-helical elements and three loops (D, anti-codon, and T loops). Lineage: Eukaryota; Fungi; Ascomycota; Sordariomycetes; Sordariales; Podosporaceae. The record is from RNAcentral.